RNAcentral lists this ribosomal RNA (490 nucleotides) under uncultured bacterium. Its description in RNAcentral is "partial 16S ribosomal RNA". It matches the Rfam family "Bacterial small subunit ribosomal RNA", at positions 29 to 507 of the family's 1533-position model. The record is from RNAcentral.
AAUGAACGCUGGCGGCAUGCCUUACACAUGCAAGUCGAACGGCAGCAUGACCUGCCUUGCUAUGUUGAUUUCGAGUGGCGCGCGUGUGAGUAAUGCAGCUGAACUUGCCUUUUGGUUGGGGUUAACUUAGCGAAAGGUACGCUAAUACCGCAUAUUCACUGAGGCGGAAAGCAGGGUACCUUCAGGCCUUUCGCUAGAAGCUCAGCCGUUGUCGGAUUAGCUAGUUGGUGAGGUAAAGGCUCACCAAGGCAACGAUCCGUAGCGGGUCUGAGAGGAUGAUCCGCCACACUGGGACUGAGACACGGCCCAGACUCCUACGGGAGGCAGCAGUGGGGAAUCUUGGACAAUGGGCGAAAGCCUGAUCCAGCCAUGCCGCGUGAGUGAAGAAGGCCUUCGGGUUGUAAAGCUCUUUCGGCUGGGAAGAAAUAGCACCCACUAAUACAGGGUGUGGAUGACGGUACCAGCACAAGAAGCACCGGCUAACUACGUG